This 253-nucleotide ribosomal RNA is filed under the name uncultured bacterium. RNAcentral describes it as "partial 16S ribosomal RNA". It matches the Rfam family "Bacterial small subunit ribosomal RNA", at positions 524 to 776 of the family's 1533-position model. The record is from RNAcentral.
UACAGGGGGUGCAAACGUUGCUCGGAAUCAUUGGGCGUAAAGCGCACGUAGGCGGUUCGUUAUGUCGGAUGUGAAAGCCCUUGGCUUAACCGAGGAAGUGCAUCCGAAACUGGCGAGCUAGAGUACGAAAGAGGAUCGCGGAAUUCCCGGUGUAGAGGUGAAAUUCGUAGAUAUCGGGAGGAACACCGGUGGCGAAGGCGGCGAUCUGGGUCGAGACUGACGCUGAGGUGCGAAAGCGUGGGGAGCAAACAGG